AUGGCCAGCUUCGUUAACAAGGGCAAUGGUCUGAAUGUCCGAGUCAUGAGCCGGCACCUCGUUUCGGCCUCCGACUCUUCCAUCAAGGAGCACGUCCUUGGUGUGUCCAACAUUGACCUUCUCCAUGGCGCCUUCCCGGUGUCACUGGUCUGCAUAUACCCGAAACCUCCAGCCGGCGGCUUCCACGCCGUCGUUGCCGCCUUCGAGUCCGGGCUGCCGUCAUUGCUCAACCACUACUUUGCCCAUGCUGGGCGCAUCGUGGUGAAUCCCCGCACAGGCCUCCCCGAGAUCCUUUGCAACAACCAAGGUGCGGAGCUCAUCGUCGGCGUGGCCGAUGUCGCUCUGGCGGACCUGGACUUUAGCAGCAUGGACUUGUCCGUAGGUAAGAUCCCGCUGCCGUACCGCGAUGACGUCCCUCUGUCGGUGCAGGUGGUGACGUUCGUGUUGGGCUAAUUCUCUGUGGUGUGGGGCCACAACCACGUCCACCUGCUCGGUGACGGCCACGCGCUGCUCGGGCUCGUCGGCGGGUUUUCGGAGCUCGCGCGGACGGGCAGGCUCGCCCCGGGAGCCCGGCCGGUCCACGAUCGCUCCCUGUUUCGCCCGAGCUCCACGCCGUCGAGAUGCAGGAGCUCCUCGCUGGCCGCGUUCAUGCCUUUGACCUCCGAUCGCAUGCUCCGAGAGAUGGCGAGCCAACAAGACGGAGACGGCCGCGCGACGCGGGUCCAGGUGGUGUCCGUGUACAUGUGGAAGACCCUAGCCGCCGUGGUUGGUGCGGCUGACACGCGCUGCCCCAUGGGCUGGUGGGUGGACGGGCGGUGUUGACUCACGGCGCCAGAGCACCGCGCCCUCGCGACGAGCAGCUACGUGGGUAACGUGUCCAUGUUCGUCCUGGGAGAAGACAGCGUGGAGGAGAUCCAGCGCAAGCCUCUGCCGGAGGUGGCGUCCAUGGUGUGCGAACUGAUCAAUGCGCGCGCGUACGACGACCGCUUUCAGGAGGUGGUUGACCGGGUGGAGCAGCACAAGUCCGGCGCCACCUACAUGGACGCGUCCAACAUCGGGCUGGGCUACCCGACGGUGGCUGUGACGGCCUUCACCUCGUUCCCAAUGGACACGGACUUGGGCUUUGGCCACGCGGCAAUGGCGAUGACGACAACGUGCGGCAGGGGGCUAUGCUCGGGGUUCGUAUAGAUGGUGGCUACGCCUCGAGGCGAUGGGGCCUGGAUCGUCAGUGCAAGCGUGUGGCCGAAGCUCGCCGCCACGCUGGAGUCCGACGAGCUGCGUAUUUUCACGCCAGUCACAGCCGAGCACCUUGGUCUCAAGCUCAACGAAGGUUAA
This 1335-nucleotide ribosomal RNA is filed under the name Triticum aestivum (bread wheat). Its description in RNAcentral is "partial small subunit ribosomal RNA". Lineage: Eukaryota; Viridiplantae; Streptophyta; Magnoliopsida; Poales; Poaceae. The record is from RNAcentral.